UUCUCCUGUGUAAGUGCCAGUGUCUGUUUCUUUCUCCAGCCUCACGCUCUAAACAAGAUGCCUCUGGCAGGAGGCCUGGGUAGAUGGAGUCUUCCAAGUCCAAUGCAACUUCACUGUUCCUGACUUAUGAAGAGAGCUGGAAGGAGUGACGGAAAGGCCAUGAGGAGACCUGGUUUCUUGAACCAUAUGAAUCAGUGCCCACCAGUGACCUGCAGAGACUCCACCCACCAGUGUCCUGCAGAGACCCCGACGCUGGCCCUGGCCCGGGCCCUGUGCCGGCUGACUUCUGCUCUAAGUCCAAAUGUUUGCUCAUCAAGACGUCUUUGCGGACACGCACACUUGCCUGGAGACCUCAUGCACACAUGUGUAAGCACUCACGUGGACCCGAGGGUUUUGCAGCCUCACGGGAACAGUGCUCAUGGAGGAAGUCCUGUGUGAUUCAUUCUGUUUGUCUGCUUGGCUGAUGUUUCCAGUUUCCGUGUAAUUUGCUCCUUUUGCAUUAAGACAGAAGUAAUGGUG
This is a non-coding RNA of Mus caroli (Ryukyu mouse), 519 nucleotides long. Lineage: Eukaryota; Metazoa; Chordata; Mammalia; Rodentia; Muridae. The record is from RefSeq and is a predicted model, not a curated record.